AAUAGAUGACGCCGUUGACUUUUUCUCACAUGUUUGACCAUUCGUCUUAUUCAAAAAAUUUACGUAAUUAUAAUUUAUUUUGUUAUGAAUUGUUUUAUCACUCAUAGUAGUUGAAGUGUGAUUUGUAUCUUAUACAUUUGUAUAAAAUUUUUUGAAUAAGACGAAUAGUCAAACAUGUGAGAAAAGUCAACGGCAUCAUCUAUU
RNAcentral lists this microRNA precursor (204 nucleotides) under Oryza sativa Indica Group (long-grained rice). RNAcentral describes it as "MIR812 microRNA precursor family". It matches the Rfam family "MIR812 microRNA precursor family". The record is from Rfam by way of RNAcentral. Lineage: Eukaryota; Viridiplantae; Streptophyta; Magnoliopsida; Poales; Poaceae.